Molecule: long non-coding RNA, 396 nt
Organism: Orcinus orca (killer whale)
Lineage: Eukaryota; Metazoa; Chordata; Mammalia; Artiodactyla; Delphinidae
Exons: 4
Source: RefSeq, a predicted model, not a curated record
GUGGAGCCGAAGUCUGCCAUCAGUGUGUGGUUUGAGAAUUCAGAAAGAUAAUCCAUUUGACCUGACAUGCAGUGUAUUACAGAGCAAAGAUUUAAAGCCCAGGAUGAAAAAGAAGCUACCAGAAGACUAAUUCCCACUCAACAACAGGAAAAGUUACAAACAGUGGUCCUAAAACAGAAGGGCUGCUUCUGGAAACUGAAGAAUUUUCCAAUAACACGAGGACCUGGUUAUGGAGUCACUACAUCUUGGAGGAAAGAGCUCUGCUUUGGAAUCCUGGAAGCUUAAGUAUCCCAUUGUUUUACUUUGGACCAGUCAUUUUACCCCCCACUUCAGCUGCCUCAUCUGCAAAAUUCAGACCAAAGAUUUUAUCCUUUUCGUUUGGAUGCUGGGGCUUAU